RNAcentral lists this ribosomal RNA (735 nucleotides) under Salmonella enterica. RNAcentral's name for it is "partial 23S ribosomal RNA". It matches the Rfam family "Bacterial large subunit ribosomal RNA", at positions 457 to 1191 of the family's 2925-position model. The record is from RNAcentral. Lineage: Bacteria; Pseudomonadati; Pseudomonadota; Gammaproteobacteria; Enterobacterales; Enterobacteriaceae.
CCUCCAAGGCUAAAUACUCCUGACUGACCGAUAGUGAACCAGUACCGUGAGGGAAAGGCGAAAAGAACCCCGGCGAGGGGAGUGAAAAAGAACCUGAAACCGUGUACGUACAAGCAGUGGGAGCACAGGUUUACCUGUGUGACUGCGUACCUUUUGUAUAAUGGGUCAGCGACUUAUAUUCUGUAGCAAGGUUAACCGAAUAGGGGAGCCGGAGGGAAACCGAGUCUUAAUUGGGCGUUAAGUUGCAGGGUAUAGACCCGAAACCCGGUGAUCUAGCCAUGGGCAGGUUGAAGGUUGGGUAACACUAACUGGAGGACCGAACCGACUAAUGUUGAAAAAUUAGCGGAUGACCUGUGGCUGGGGGUGAAAGGCCAAUCAAACCGGGAGAUAGCUGGUUCUCCCCGAAAGCUAUUUAGGUAGCGCCUCGUGAAUUCAUCUCCGGGGGUAGAGCACUGUUUCGGCUAGGGGGCCAUCCCGGCUUACCAACCCGAUGCAAACUGCGAAUACCGGAGAAUGUUAUCACGGGAGACACACGGCGGGUGCUAACGUCCGUCGUGAAGAGGGAAACAACCCAGACCGCCAGCUAAGGUCCCAAAGUCAUGGUUAAGUGGGAAACGAUGUGGGAAGGCCCAGACAGCCAGGAUGUUGGCUUAGAAGCAGCCAUCAUUUAAAGAAAGCGUAAUAGCUCACUGGUCGAGUCGGCCUGCGCGGAAGAUGUAACGGGGCUAAACCAUG